Camellia sinensis is the source of this 6006-nucleotide non-coding RNA. NCBI's taxonomy places the organism in Eukaryota, Viridiplantae, Streptophyta, Magnoliopsida, Ericales, Theaceae. The record is from RefSeq and is a predicted model, not a curated record.
AAUAUUCCCAACGUUGAUCUACUUCCUUUCACCAUUUUGAGCCCUAAUUUGAGAGAAAAUUCCUAUUUGAAGAGAAAGAAAAAAAAGGCUCUCUCCCUCUCUCUCUCCAACUCCAAACCCAUCGCCCUCUCUCUCUUCUCUCUCUCUCUCUCUCUCUCAAAACCCCUCUUAAAUCAUCCACCUCCAUCCUCUCUACAAGGCCCUUCGAUUUCCCUCAAAGCCCCUCUCCGACCCCAAUUUACAACGAUUCGGAUGUGAAGCCGAAGCCUCGGAAGCGACUCAUCAAGAAGAACACGACGACUGAAGAGAGCACUCCUGAUUUUGGAAUCGAGGACGAGGAUGAUGGGGAAGAAUUGGGGGAUUUUCUGAGGGGAGAGUCGGACUACGAUGAUUUCGGAGAUGGAAAAAGGAAGAAGUUUGAGAAAGAUGGUAUUGCUAGUAGGAAGAGGGAUAGACAUUGAGAAACACAUGUUCACUCUCUGUCCUCUUCGCUCUCUACCCUAGCUACUCCCUCUUCAGCGCCGCCGCCAAAGACACAUGUUCACUCUAUUAUGUUUUUGUUUUUUUCAAACGAGAGUUGGUCCUAGAUUUAUUCAUUUAUUUAUUGUAAGAAAUCGAAAUACUCUCAUUUCCUCAAUCCCCUUCAACCUCUCUCUAAUCCUCUCAGAUUUCAAUGUUUAUUCUAUUCAAUUUAAUCGAAACAGAGCUUCAAAAAUCUGAGACCAAAAUGGGAAUUCCAUCGACGAUGAGGGACGCUUGGGAAAACCAAAGAAAUUCACCUUUGAUUGCUUCACCGGCUGAGGAUCAGAAGAUUCUGAAUUCACGCCAUUGCACUCAAGAUCAUGGGUUGCUAUUGAAUGGUGUUUCUGGAAUUUGCAGAGGGUGUUCGAGCAGGAGUGAAGGCAGCUUCCAUUGCUUGUGUUGGCAGUGCUAUGCCUACUCUGGAGUCCGCUGACCUUGUCAUCUUGGAAGAGGAGGAGGAUGCCACCAGCGUCAGUGUGGGCUCGGAGGCCCUUGAUCAGCUCCGGGUGGGGACACGGAGGGUUGUUGCUGACCUUGGUGCCAAGGGUUGGACCCUUGGAGCCAUAGAAAGCCUUCUUGAGAUCAAGCACAAAUUGACCUAGAUGCAAAGAAACUACAAAGUUAUGUGACGGAAAAGUCCUUGAUUUCAGAAAAAGAUGAGAGGUGUUUGAUGAAUUUCCAAUUCAGAGCAGUGACAAACUGAGUAUACUUUAGAGACAGUGACUAAGGAAGCUUCAGGGAAAUGGAGAUAAUUCUCUAGGAAGAUUUAAAGGAUGUAGUGACUUGGGAAGUGGAUGGAACAGGAUUGACAACAUGAGUUCCUUGUUCUAUGUACCUUCCUUCCGGUAAUACGCUCUCCCUUUAAUGUUCUAUUGUUCUUUACACAGGUGUUAACUUUCCUUGUUAAUCUAAUCUAAAAUUAAAUUUAUGUAGUUAUCACAUUUUGUGAUGAAAUUCUAUCAUAUCUUUCUUCCUUUUUCCUUUUUGUUAAGUUACCACAAUAUCUAACUAAUCAUGACAUUUUAUUUGUCGCUCUUCGAAAGCUGGUCAAAGUCACCUCCAAAUCGAGAAAAAGAUAUCUAUUAACUAUGGUAACAAAGGAAAUGAGGUAAUGUCUAUUGUCACUGGGAGGCCACCAUAUGUCUAUUAUCAUAAUUACUUACAUAUGUAUCAUCUUCGUGAUAUGUUCACUUAUAUCCAUGUGUACAUAAUUCCUUACGUAAAUUCCAUGACCAACAGCAUAUGUGUGUUUCACUGGUUUAGCUUUCGAACUAAUAAUUAUUCACAAGACUUAUUGGACAUAUAUUAGCAUGUUUUGGGUUAAUGGUCACAAGAUCGUUAUGAGUUGGCUACAAAAUGUUUUGGAAAACUAAACUAGAACUUAUUUUUAGUUUAUUUUCUCUCUACCUUACCUUACCUCACUUUUUUUUUUUUUGAUCGGCAAAGAAAAAUUCCAUUAAAAACAUGAAAUUUACAGGUACACGGAAAUAAAACGCACUGAGAGAGAUUCGAAGAGUAAAAACUCACUCUCCUACUAUUGCUACUCGCAAUCUUACAACCAACCCCUUCGCCUCACGAUAUUAUAUUUUAAAAACAACUAAAAAAAAUAAAUAAAAAAACAAAAUAAAAAACCAAACUCUUGAGCCCCACCUACAUCACAGCUACACACCCCAACUACACACCCCACGACUGACUCAAAUCUGAUACACUCUUGAGCCCCACGCCUGACCCGAAGCACUCUGCACCACUCAACCUCCAUUGCCGGACACUCAACCACCCGUCGAGAACCACCCGACAACAGCCUCUUCUUGCUUCACCAUCGAGAACCACCCGUGACCGAACCUACUUUGCUUCACCUCUGAACAUCGCCAGCCUCUUCUUGCUUCACUCUCCUCUUCUACAGCUACUGCAGCCACCUCCUUUGGUUCUUCUCCGUGACCCAAACACCUCCCACGAAUGGUCCUCACCCCCAGACACUGAGCAGUCCCCUCUUUGUUUGCCCAGCGCCAAACUCCUCAUAACCGAACACAAUCACCAACCACCAAAGAAGCGGAAAUCACCCCUCAAACUUCCAGUCGCACAGGAGCGCUCGAAUGGAGAACCUAAACAGCUCUGAAUCCUCCACCCCUCAAACUCCCGCUCGCAAAGAAGUGCCCGAAUGAAGUUCCUGGACCAACCCACCCAUGUUCAACGCACCCAACCUAAACCGAGACCCAUGGCUGCAGUAGAACACCAUGGCUGAAUCACCACUUCCACCGAAAACGAGCAUCCUACACAAACCGAGUAUCCUACACAAAAACGAUAAACCCAAAACAGCAACCUAAACAAAUCUAGAGAUUAGAUCUGGAAAGGAGAAAGAAGAAAACUAAAGGGGCCUCAAGUUAUUUGGGAGAAAACCUAAGAGUACAAGAAGAAAAGAUAGGCCAGCCAACCGCCAUGGCCAAAGGCAGCGGCCGGCUGGCCAACGGUGAGGCCCGAGGUGGAGGUUUUUUGAAAGAGAGUUUUUUGAAAAACACCUAUCUAUGCCUUAUGCCUUACCUCACUUUAUUUUGCUUUCCUGUUGUGUUUGUGUUGCCUCAACUAGAACCAUAGCAUUUUGCAUGAUUGUAGACAGUAGGUUUAUUAUUGAACUGUACUCAUUUCUUAGUGAUAUGAUUGAUCUUAGUUUAGAUUAUUUAUGUCGCGCAAGUUUUGAUAUAUAUGGAACUUGUAUUAUUUUGAUGCAGCUGCACAGGCAAGUGGAAGCUUUAGUCUACCUUUCAAUAUAUAAAAAACUCUUCGUCUUUUUCUUCCUUUUACUUAUUUAUUUUUAAUGCAGGAAUUGCUAUACCUAUAUAGAUUUGGUUAUGAUUUUUAAUGCAGGAAUUGUUGUACCUAUAGAGGUACGUUAACUCCUUGAACUUCGAUGUGUUUAUUUUAGUUAUUUCUUUGAGAUGACUGUUUAAUCAACCUCUUCUUCUUAUAUCUACAUAACCAUUAAUUAGUUUUGUUGGAUUUCUUAUUUCUGCAUACACAAAGUUGCUAAAUUAUCUAAUUUUGCUGUUAAUUUGAUACACCAAAGAGGGUAUAUACAAUGUCUGACUCUAGGAGAUGUUUGGCUAUGAGGUUUACCAGAAUUAUAGUUGUUAUGGCUCUGCUGGUUUAUGUUUCAGAAAGGUUGAAUUCGAAUAGGCUUUUUGCCGUGAUGGUUUGUUUGAAAAUUCCUACUCAUUUCCCUCUAGAAACAUUGCAACAAAAGAGGUAAUUUCAUUAGAGGUAACUUUAUUUGAAGUAUGAAAAAAAAAGGUUUUGCUUUAUGUGGAUUUUAUUUGCAUAUAUGUUGUGACUCUUUAGAUUUUGAAUUUUUGCUAAUAGUAAAUAUUUUCCCAAUUUUUGCCUACGAGACGGCUUAGCUUCUUGGAGUUUAGUUAGGCUUAGCAUUGAUUUCGGUGGAACGUGUUUUAAGUGUUUUGGAAAAGAAAAAUGCUACACAAAAUAACAAAACUCAGAAACUUUUCUUACUUAAACAUGUAGCAUAUAGUAAUGACACUUUGGUAUCUAUAACGAGACCCACUAGAAUAAUAUGUUAGGCGCAACUCAUAUGAGUAACAGAAGUAUGUAAAUUUUGUUAAUUUGUAUAAUACUCUUUGGAAAAAUAUAUGUGUUACUACAAGCUUUUAACCACUAGUUAAAUGCUUAACAGUAAAUUGUACAUUGCUGGAAAUUUGCAGCAAUUUUAAUUGGGUAGAAACAUUUCCAGAAGAACAAAUAGUAAUUUGAUGCUGCUGUGGUCAUUUGGGGAUUUAUUUAGGCAGCUUAGAUCUUGAAGUCCAUUGAAUAUGUCAUGGUUGUUAUGCUUUUUGAUCCUUUAGACAUACACCCUCUGAAUAAAAAAAUAAAAAAAGUGACAUGUAUCUUUUCCCUUUGUUGGCGAUGUUCUGUCCGUCCAAAAUGAUGUUCUUCUCUUUGUUGGCGAUGUUCUUUUGUCUGUAUUUCUGGUGAUUGCUUGGAUGUCAUCAGCGGAGCCAAUGCCUUCUUUUCCCAGGCAUUUACCAAGUCCCAACAUUUUAAGUUUGGGUAAUGAAUUUUUCGGAGAUUGGAUGGGUGUACCACUUGUUUUACACUAAACUCAGUAUAAGUACUGCAGUAAUUGUUGAUAUGAGUCUUUGCCUGAAGAUUUUUAUUCACUCGCUAUUUAUUAGGAUUACAUGAUGUGGCCAUAGUUUGUUUUCUUUUGUAAAAAUUGCAGAUCCCAUUCCAGCUUGGAUUGUCAAAAUUGGAUCUACGGAAGGUGGUGAAAUCCAAUUUAUCUGGGGUUGACAAGUCCAUCACUGCGAUGUAUAAGAAAUUGCAAAAGAACCUAACCUCAGAGGAGCUAUUGCCUUCUUUGUGGGAUAAGUGCAAGGGAAUGGUUCAAACCCAGCUUUUCAUGGACAAGGAAUGGUUCUAAUUUCUGCUGAUAAAUCCAAAGUGGAAUAGGAUGUGGUGAAAAGGCUGCUUUUGGACCCAAGUGUGGGUGGAUGGACUGAUGCUAAACUUAUAUGUUCUGUGAUUGAUCUUAAUUAUACAAUUUCCAUGCCUAUCCGAAGAGGAAUGGGUUAUAAAUACCACACUCGGUCUUAAGAAUUGGUUUUGAUUUUGAUUUUUUUAAAAUUAAUUGUUGAUGAAACUCUUAACAAUGAAUUGUAGGAUUUAAGGUUUGGAAAAGUAGAGAUCCUUUAACAUAAUUAUGCAAGUCCCAAGUAUGUGCUGCAUUGAAAUAGAUUAAUUCCUUCUCUUCUUUUUAUAUUUAAUUUUUCUCUUGAGCUUCUUAUGGUCUGAAUUUAGUUGCAAACUAUAUAUUCUUGUACAAACUUAAUGGUUUGUUUGAAGAUUCCUACUCAUUUCCCUCAAGAAACAUUGCAACAAAAGAUGUAACUCCAUUAGAGGUAACUUCAUUUGAGGUAUAAAAAAAAAGGUUUUGCUUUAUGUGGAUUUUAUUUGCAGAUACGUUGAGACUAUUGAUAUCUUGAAUUUUUGCUAAUUUUUCAUUAUGACAUUGCUUUUAUGGGGCCAUUGAAUUAUCUUAUUAAUUUUGGAAAUGCUUUGUUGUUGUUUUAAAAUUUCUUGAUCAUUUCUUAAUACCUCAAAAAUAUUUUUGUCUUGAGUUGGUUUAUGUACUUAUGUGAAGUUUCCUUUGUCAUGCAGACAGGAAAUGCAAUAGGGUUAGUUGCUCCAGCUAUUGCUGCGUGAAACAUCCCAAAAAAAAAUAAAAUUGGCCAUGAUAUAUCUAUUUAUGCAACAAAACCCACCUGAUAGACACACACACACACACACACACACACAUAUAUAUAUAUAGUUAACUAAUCCAUACACUCAUUUCCUUUAAAUCCCAAAUGCCAAAUACAUGUCGUUCUCAUAUCAAUGCUCCAGUUCUAAUCCCAAACAUGCAUUUUACAAUAAAUAUGAAAUGGAAGCCAAACAGAUAUUAAGUGCCUUACAGGCUUACAAAUUUAUUCAAGAACA